This 230-nucleotide ribosomal RNA is filed under the name uncultured Sphingomonadales bacterium. RNAcentral's name for it is "partial 16S ribosomal RNA". It matches the Rfam family "Bacterial small subunit ribosomal RNA", at positions 87 to 334 of the family's 1533-position model. The record is from RNAcentral. Lineage: Bacteria; Pseudomonadati; Pseudomonadota; Alphaproteobacteria; Sphingomonadales.
CGGCCUUAGUGGCGCACGGGUGCGUAACGCGUGGGAAUCUGCCCUUGGGUUCGGAAUAACAGUGGGAAACUACUGCUAAUACCGGAUGAUGACGUAAGUCCAAAGAUUUAUCGCCCAAGGAUGAGCCCGCGUAGGAUUAGCUAGUUGGUGAGGUAAAGGCUCACCAAGGCGACGAUCCUUAGCUGGUCUGAGAGGAUGAUCAGCCACACUGGGACUGAGACACGGCCCAG